CUAAUACCUUGAAAAGCAAUCUGAUGGGCUUGAAACCUUUUAGUUCAGGUAAUUAAAAUGAAAUUCCGUUAUGGCCUUCAAAAAGUAAAGGAACGGAGUGUAUAUUGUAAAAUACUAAUCUAAAAGGGAACGAAAGUCGGGAGCUUCUAUUGUUUUAAUUUUCUCUGGAAUAAACUGUCAAAUGAAAUAAGCGCGGCCUUACAUUUAAGGAAGCAGAAAGCUCUGGAAUUCAGUUAAUUAAGGACUAGUUUUUAAGUAGAAGGGGGGGGGGAAUGUUCAAUUUGUAUAAAUUAAUUGUAAGGAUUUGCUCACCCAGCAAGAUCUUUGGGGAAGGAAAGAAAGUGAGUUAAUUGCAAGGGUCCCUAAAUUUCAUUUUUAUUGUUUCUACAUACACGCACAUAUGCACACACAACAUUUUAUUUGUUGGGCAGAAUAAAUUGGGAAAUUCUGUGCAACCACCACUGAACAGCGCCCAUUCAAUUUGAUGGUGCUUGCAUAGCAAAACUUGCAGGUGAAUUAUGCCCAUUAGUUGCAACAUUUAGUUUUGGCAUAAUAUAAAAUAAAACAAAGGAAAAUACAAAUAACUUUCUCCUCCAUCAACAACAAAGAGUUAUGUAGCACCUUAAAGAAUUAUCAAAUUUAUUGUGGCAUAAGCUUUCAUGGACUAGAAUUCAAUUCAUCGGAAGCCUGGGUUGAUAGGGAGAAAUAACUAGGCAACUAGUUCUGCUCACUUGUGUGUUGAAUUUUUCAACUUUCAAACUCCAAAAAUGAGGAGUGCUAAGAAGUUGUAACAUGACUGGCGAAUUCAAAAUAUAGUUUGGUUAAGUUGACAGAAUAUGCACGACUUGCAGACUUAACAUAUAAGAAUAAGAGAACAAGAAGAACAUAUGUUUAAAAAAGAUUGGAAAACGUUUAUCGAAUAUAUGGAAAAUAAUUGUGUACAGUUGAAAACACUGGCAGCAUUAAAAUGAAUUCAACAGUGUACAGCUGAAAACACUGGCAGCAUUAAAAUGAAUUCAGCAUUAAAGUUUUGAUGAUUGCAAUAAUGGAAAACCGAUUGGUAUAGUUUUUGUAAAGUAUAAACCAAUUUGUAUAGUUUUUGUAAAGUAUGCAGGGAUUUAAGAUAUGUAAAAAUGAACCAUGGAAAGAGAAGAAAGGAAGUCAUUGAUAUCUUAAAGAUGUAAAAUGUUUAUUUGAAAUUGUAAAACAGAAAAUUUAAUUAAAAAAUAUUAAAAAACAAAACAAAAUAUAGUUUGGUUAAAUUAAUAUAAUUUACUUUUGCUUGGUAAGUAAAAGCUACAUACAAAAUUGCAUAGAAAUCAUUAAAAAUGAUUGCCAAGUACUUGCAGUUAAUAUUAGAUAUUAAUAUCAUUUGUUAUUUUUAUUAUUUAGCAUUACCCGACAUUUUCAGAAGGUAAGACAGAAAUUAUUUGGUUUUCUGAAAGCAGCUUAUGUGCUUCUUCAUCAAAUGUAGACUUCCCAAGCUAACUAAAUGUUGUUGAACCACAGCAAUCGCUGCAGAUUUGGAUUCCUCACACCCCAAAAUGUAAUUUUAAGACCCCUUCACUGAAGAAAUUUGCAAAAAUUAAGUUUUGCCCCCCUAAAAUGGCAUGCCCUAAUACCCCAUUGACUUUUUUGUGUGAAGGCCACUUUUGAAAUUAAGGGAUGUUGCAAAAGCAGUUUGUAAUUUACCUUUCAAAAAAACAAACAAGCGGGGCGGGAGGGGAGAGCCACAAAUCUUGCUGAGUGUGCCUGAGACAUUGGACAUGCUGCUGCUUUUUGGCUCUCUGUCUUAAUUUUGGAAAGUUAACUUGUCCCAAGUAGUCCAUUCCCUGGUUUAUGGUCCUUCCGUCUUAUAGAUAAAUUAGAUGAAAUUCUGAAAUUAAUUAAAAUCCUAUGUAACACAACCUAUUUUGUUCGCUUAAUAAUGAGAUAACGCUUCCUUUGCUCCUUCGUGAUAAGUUUUGCUACACAUUUUAUUCCGCUGCUUCUUCUCUCUUUUUUUGGACGAAGUAAUUUCCAGUCUUGAAUCUCACUUGGGGUGGGGGGUUGUUGCUGGAUGCCCUGAGGCAGCUAUGGAGGGAAUUGCUGGAGAGUCAACACCACCAAAUAAAAUGCAUGCAUACUUUUUUCCACAUUAAAAUGUACAUUUUAUCAUAAUAACUAAUUAUUCUUAUUGCUUUACUGCAUAUUAUUACUUGCACUGGACCAUAAAACCUAGACUAAUAACACUAAUUUGUCUUACAUUAUAGAUUGCUCUAUUAACUUUAACAAAUCGGUUCACCACAGGCACUGAUUGAUAGGUACAUUGUUCCCAGACUCAUUUCCUUCCUUAUAAACAAUUAUCCACACCGAAUAUUCUCUCUCUCUCUCUCUUUGCAUUUUACAUUGGCGAAGCAGGGCUCUGCACCUAAUUCCUAAAAAUUUACACUGACAUACAUGCUUGCACUGCCUAUGGAACAUCAUGUUGUGUGGCUAUGUGCUGGUGUCGCUGUAAGAAUGCCCCUAAGCACCCAUUUGCUGUGACAGAACAGCUUGGGGUGAAGCUAUUUGUCUCGGUCUAGAGCAUGGGUAGGCAAACUAAAGCCCGGGUGCCAGAUCCGGCCCAAUCGCCUUCUCAAUCUGGUCCACGGACAGUCCAGGAAUCAGUGUGUUUUUACAUGAGAAGAAUGUGUCCUUUUAUUUAAAAUGCAUCUCUGGGUUAUUUGUGGGGCCUGCCUGGCGUUUUUACAUGAGUAGAAUGUGUGCUUUUAUUUAAAAUGCAUCUCUGGGUUAUUUGGGGGACAUAGGAAUUCGUUCUCCCCCCCCCCUCAAAAUAUAGUCCAGCCCCCCACAAGGUCUGAGGGCCAGCGGACCGGCCCCCUGCUGAAAAAGUUUGCUGACCCCUGGUCUAGAGCUUGUUUCUACAAUCACCAGAACCAUAUACAGUGGUACCUCGGGUUACAUACGCUUCAGGUUACAUACGCUUCAGGUUACAGACCCCGCUAACCUAGAAAUAGUGCUUCAGGUUAAGAACUUUGCUUCAGGAUAAGAACAGAAAUCAUGCUCCAGGAGCACAGCAGCAGCAGGAGGCCCCAUUAGCUAAAGUGGUGCUUCAGGCUAAGAACAGUUUCAGGUUAAGAAUGGACCUCCGGAACAAAUUAAGUACUCAACCCGAGGUACCACUGUAGUCAAGCUUUUCCAGGCAGGACUGUACCAGUUCAGACAGCACUUCAGACCACAGGUAUGUAUGGGGUGGUUGUGUGUUCGGAUGAUUUACUAAGGAAAAACCCCAACUUUCCUAUGUGCAAAAAACUAACAUGACAGGAAGAGGGAUUCAGCCAAAUCUUUUCCUAACAGGCUAUUUUUCUAUGCAGAGGGGUUUCAUUCAAAUUCAGCCUCCACCCUUUAGCCUCUGUGAAAAUGGUACAGUCCAUUGUGGGAUGGGGAAUGAACACUUGAUUCUGUUGAUAGUAUAAACUGCCCCCAAAGCAUUAUUUUAUUACCCCCCCAAACCCCAGAAGGGCCUUAAUGCCCUUUUCUGGUCUCCCAUGCAAUUCCAUGAAAGACAGUGGUACCUCGGGUUAAGUACUUAAUUCGUUCCAGAGGUCCGUUCUUAACCUGAAACUGUUCUUAACCCACUUUAGCUAAUGGGGCCUCCUGCUGCCGCUGCGCCGCCGGAGCACAAUUUCUGUUCUCAUCCUGAAGCAAAGUUCUUAACCUGAGGUACUAUUUCUGGGUUAGCGGAGUCUGUAACCUGAAGCGCAUGCAACCAGAGGUACCACUGUACAGUUGCUUAGCAGUGCAGUCCCAUAUAUGUUUACUCAGAAGUCAGCCAAUCAAGUUCAAACUCCUUCAAACAGAGGACUGUCCUCUGUAGAAGUAGGAACCUCUUUGCCCCCCUAACAGAAUCAAUGAUCCCGGCGGUCAGCUGGUCCACUUCUCUUGCUCCAUUUGUGGGUUUCGUCUUCACUUACGGACGUUGUCCCUCAGUAGUUUGUAUUUCCAGAAUGUGCUAUUUGGUGAGGAGUUUGGGGGAGGCAGCGAGAGGCUUCAUUGCACGGUGCGGUCAUGUAGCAUCCAUCUCCAUCUCUGCAAUGCACAGUUGUGUCUUCUUGAAUUCCGAUGCAGAGUUGCUGUGAAAAGUUCCCUCUCUCUUAUGGGUAGUAAGUAAGUACCAGUGUAAGGAGACCUUCUGCUGGGAACCUCCCUGUUGUCUCUGGUACUUGAUGAAGCACCUAUUUGGGUAGCGGGUGGCUGGGAACUACCCAGGUUUGUCAUGCUCACUGAACAUGCCUCAUGUGCAUACCAGUGUGGCUGAUAAGCAUAAUGUGCUAAUUACUGUAUUUUUUGCUCUAUAAGACUCACUUUUUCCCUCCUAAAAAGUAAGGGGAAGUGUGUGUGCAUCUUAUGGAGCGAAUGCAGGCUGCGCACCCAUCACAGAAGCCAGAACAGCAAAAGGGAUUGCUGCUUUAACUGCGCAGCGAUCCCUCUUGCUGUUCUGGCUUCUGAGAUUUAGAAUAUUUUUUUUCUUGUUUUCGUCCUCCAAAAACUAGGUGCGUCUUGUGGUCUGGUGCGUCUUAUAGAGCGAAAAAUAUGGUAUAUUAGUCAGGUCUCACGAGGUGGAGAGGAGUAUUGUGGCUUCACAAAUGACCAGUCCCCUUUCCCCUUAGUUAUUAUUAUUUUUUGCUGCAAACUGCACAGUAUUUUGUUAAGCCAGCAUGGGGAGCCCUCUAGUCUAGGCCUUAUCUGGGGCAUGGGAAACAGAUGCCACGAAGGACUGGACAUGCAAACGUAAUGUCCGUUUCAGCAUCUCCCAUUCUAGUGCCUUGCAGAGAUGCCUUGGGCUACAACUCUCAUCAUCAGCCUCACCUAGCCCCCGUCAGGGACGAUGGGAGUUGUAGUCCAAAACAUAUGGAGGGCAGUAAGUUGGGGAAGUCUUCAGGGCAGAUAUGUAUCUUCUCCUAGAUGUCUUAGGCUUGAAUUCAUUCUGUGAAUUGGGACAUCCACAUUUCACUGCCCCAAAGCCUAAUCAGCAGCUGCCAUGAAUGUAAAAGCAAGGGUGUUGGAACCUGUGACCUUCCAGAUGUGAUUUAACUACAUUUCCCAUCAUCCUUGACCCCUGGCAACACUGGCUGGGGUUGAUGGGAGUUGGAAUCCAACACCAUCUGGCAAGCCUCAAGUUCCCCAUCCCUGAUGUAAGAUGGUGGAGAAACUGUUUGUAUGAUGGCUCUAUGAUGUCAAGGAUGGGGAAAUUGUAGCCGUCCAGAUGUUAUGGGCUCCAGCUCCUACCAGCACCAGCCAGCAUGGCAAAAUGGCCAGGAAAGAUGGAAGUUGUAAUCAAGCAACAGCUGGAAAGUCACGGUUUCUCCAUCCCUGCUGUGUAGGUAGGGAGAGAUGGUAAACUCAGCGCCAGAUGCAAAAUCCCAAAGGGAAAACAGUUUUCUGUAAACCAGGUCUCAUUUUUGGACCGUGGAGAAGGAUCGGAAAGACCAGGAUGAUAAAAGAUGCAUGAGAACUCAUGUAGCUACACACAUUUAGACUUAAUUUCAGUUUGUGAUUAGCUUUAAGUAGGUUUCGAGGACUGAUUUGCAGGAAGAAAUGGAAAUGCUCAAUUUACGUGGGCUGGGAAGGAGCCUCACCCCAGGGGGAAUCAAGCGGAGGAGGGGGGAUGCAAUUUAAGUGGUUAGGUAAUCUUAAUCUGAAAUGCACCCAUUUUCUUCUGUUAGACCUCGAGAUAAAGCUGAUGCAUAAAACUGAUCUAUGGAAAGGAAAGGUUAGACUAUUUCUAUGUUUUAAAGGGGCCCAUCACCAUUGUGGAGAAAACAUUUUUAUUUUUUUUUUGGUGUUCAUUUUCUGUGUUCAGGACUGAGCUGUCAAAUUACUCAUUUAAAUGCCAAAACCAGAGAUUGCUGAGUUUUCUGCAUGCAAUUUGUGAUUCUGAGCGGAAGCCUCCUUGAACCAGAGUCUCUCACAUCUAUAAUUAAAAGGGAAGCGGGUUUGUUGAAAAGACCCAUUUUCCGAAGAUAUAAACAUCUUACAUUAUUUUUCUGGACACACGCAUUCUUUCUGUUAGAAAAACUAUGGGGCUUAUGAAGUUGUUGUUUUUUUGCUGUGAUUUUAUACACAAUGGAAGGGUGAGGAAAAGGUCAGUAAUAACUCUGCGGUUGCAUUUUCGCUGGGAAGAAAAAACCCGGCGUCCUAUUGAUCAAUAAUAAAAUGGAAAAAGCACAACUAUUAGCUUUUAACUUGAUCUUCUCUGACCUUUCCCCUGCCAUGUUGGCUUUGUUCUUAAAUGUUAUGCCUGCUGUUUCAAAGGUUUGUCCCGUUUAGUCUUUUAUUUAAUUAACACAUGAUCUUCUUUACCAGCUCUAAUGUUGAAACAAGAAAUUCACUUCCAUCCCCUUGUUGAACCAUUGUCUGGUUCACACCCUACACUUGAUAACAACUGUUACAAAUUGUAAGUGUUGUGAAUGAAUAGCUGUGCUUAAAAUGGCAGUGGCGGGUGGGUCGUUGCAGGCCAUUUACGGGAAACAGGACGUGGACGGGAAGCCCAAACAAACCCUUUGUGUUUCGGGACCACUUGUGGUCGGACCUCAAUAUAAAGCUGGUUAUUAGGAGGCACACAAAGUUAUCACAAUAAAUACUUUUGAUGGAUCCUUUAUUCCAGUGGUGUCUGGUGCUCAUUGAGCAGAGGGCAGGGAGGCCAACAGUAGGUGGCGCCACAACCAGCGACAGGCAGAGCCAACUGAUUCUAGUUCGGGCUCCAUUUGACCUGCUGAGUUCUGCAGGGUCAACACUCCCCCAUACUUCAUUUUGCGCUGCGUUUCUAGCCACAGGUCCAUGCUUUAAAGCUCUGUGUCCAAGUGUUGUUGUUGUUUUUGCCACAGAGCAAACAGCAAUCCGCAAGAAACUCAAAUUGCUGUUUGUUUUGAUUCAGUGUUAAAGGGUGGCAGAGCUUACCUAGGCUCCCUUGAGCCCUUGGCAAGGAGUUGCCUGACCAGAUUCCUCUGCCAAGGCUCCCAGAGGAGCCCAGCUGCCCAAAGUAGCGGAGGAGCAGCCCAGGGAGUGUGCAGAUAGGUAUGUGGGUUCCUGGCCACUCUGAACCAGAGCAGAGAUGCUCAAUUUUUGCAUCACCCUGAGCCUGGAUCCUUGGCGAGGGCCAACCUAACCAUCCCCUAGGUAUGCCCCUGAAGAGUGCGUUUUUCCUGGGUAAAGUGGCAGUGCAAAAAAAGAGAGAGAGAGAGAGUGCUCGGACAUGGAGCUUUAUAGUGUGGAUGUAUGCCUAGAAAGCGCAAGGCAAAAGGUAAGGCUGACAAAAAAUGUGCUGCCAUCCUCUCCAACUGUAAGUAAGAAGGCAGGUGUUAUGUACUGAAGUUCUCACUCUGGGCCAGCAGGGGGAUACUGUAGAUAGUUAUGCAAAUAAGGGAUCGAAAGUGACGUUCAGUGAUUGCGCUCAGCGAUUCAGCUCAGUGAUUCAGCUCAGCUCAGAGGGUGGCCGCAUCUGGCUGUGCUCUGAUGUCCAUCGAUCCCAUCCUUGUUGCCAGUGUUAAGUUGUGGGUGAACAUAUCACACGACACAGCGAUUCUUCAAACAGCUCUUGUUUAUUCAGAGGCCAGAACAGAACUGAACUGAAGGGUUCAGUCAGCCUGCUUAUAUAGAGCUCCAGUACAACGUAACUGUAACAAAUUUCUAAAACUAUCCAAUCACUGAACGUCACUUUCGAUCCCUUAUUUGCAUAACUAUCUACAGUAUCCCCUUGCUGGCCCAGAGUGAGAACUUCAGUACAUAACAGCAGGUAGAUGGGGUCUGGCUGAGGCUGGUGCAUCAUUUGCCCUAAUAACCAGCCUCUACUCCCUUCCUUCCCAACCUUGAAUAUAUCCAAGACCUAUGGAUCCUUCCCUUUCUGCCCUUGAAUUUUCAUUGCUCCCCUCAUUGUCUCUGAAAUGGUGCUCCUGUGAAGUCAUCCAUUCUAGAAAUAGGAUGAAUACAUUGCGUGUCCUUGUAGGACUUAUUUUCCAUGGACAAUUUUGCCUGUACCUUGGGCCACCCAGCUACCUUCAUCAGAGCAACCAAAAGACAUUUGCUUCCCAUCUCAGUGCGACAUUUGGGUGUGAUUAAUAUCUCUAGGUCUCAGAAGGGGUGGAAUUAAAUAUUUUCCCUCCCGGGAAUUUGCAUCUGCUGAGUCUUCUACGCAUCAUCAAAAUGAGACAGUUUCAUCACUGCUGAGCAAAGUCAAAGCUGAAAGAGUUAUCCAAGCAAUGGGGCAAAUCAUUUGUUUGGCAAACAAACAAACAAACAAAAACCAUUGAAAUUCAGCAAAUUAAAAUCAUGCCUUUUUACAUUUUGUUGUCAGCCUCAAAAUUUUCAAAAUUGCUGACUUUGGUUCCCCCUGCUAUGAAGGGACCUACUACAACAUUUGUUAAACGCUAUUUCACGUCAGUUGCUUACUGCCAAAUGCUGGCUGCCUUGGUAAAAUUAUUGGAUGCCAAAACGCAGACAAGAAACAUGGAACAUUUAUGGAAUAUUCAAACAUCCAGGGAAUAUUUGCUCUCUCAAAAUUAACAAAAGAUUAUGGCUUGGAUCCAACUAUUUUAUGAGCACAAUUCCUUUCACUUGGGAAGUAGAAUUUUAUCUCUGUCUGCAACACCCAAACCCUUGAGGGUGUAGGAGAUUGAAAUGGCUUGCCUACCACUGUGGCCACAAGGAAAGCCAACAGAUGGGGACAUGGGAUGCUAGAGGGUCCUUAUAAUCCAACUCCAUAUUUAUAUUUAUGGCCUGUAGACCAAAUAAACCAAUAUAGGCUGAGAAAGUAGAUUAUAAACUGAGAACAGAAUCCAUCUGAAAUGAUGCUCUUUUCAAGUUUUCUUGAUUUCAACAGGAGAAUUAGAAGUGUUUCAAAGCCCUCCAUUGAAAUCGAUGGUCUUAACAGUACAGUGGUACCUCAGGUUAAGUACUUAAUUCAUACCAGAGGUCUGUACUUAAUCUGAAACUGUUCUUAACCUGAAGCACCACUUUAGCUAAUGGGACCUCCUGCUGCUGCUGCGCCGCCGGAACAUGAUUUCUGUUCUCAUCCUGAAGCAAAGUUCUUAACCUGAAGCACUAUUUCUGGGUUAGCAGAGCCUGUAUGUAACCUGAAGUGUAUGUAACCUGAGGUACCACUGUACUUUACUUCGGUUGAAUCCCAAGUAAGUAAAAGAUUAUUAAUUGCAAUCAUUCACAAAAGUAUACAAGUGAGUUUAGAGAAAAAUGAAUACGAACCAUUCUGAUGGGUUUACAAUUACGGUAUGUGAUGCAGCCAGAGUUAAGUAUUUUUUUCAGGACCUAUUGCAUUAUAUUCAUACGUAACUCUCUCCCAUUGAUAUUUGGUGAAUCAUUCUUCUUGUUUUUAUGCAUGCAGUGAACAUGUUUGAGAAAUUAGCCUAGCAUCAUUAUGUGUGUAAAGAAUGUAUUAAAAUGUGACUGUGUGUGUUCUUGAUUUUUUUAAUGGCAUGAAUAAUUGUAUCUUUAUUAAAAUAUUACAGCUGUGUCUGGCAUUAAAUAAUCCUUUACACAUUCUCACCUUUUAGCCAUAAUUACAUUUGUGGAGCAUAUCACCGGACUGUGGGUUUGGCUGAAUGAUUCUUAUUUUCCCUUUGUUUUUGUUUUCAGACUGAGAGACGUGGUCGGGGUUUCACAAUGCCUUGAAUAUCAACACCAUAAAAUCCCUUUACCAAUCGUAAAUGCAUAAAUGCAAUCAUGCAUACCUUUCUGAGUUAUGAGGUGGUUGCACAGUUGGCAGGCUGGCUUGAUGCUUUUUUGACAGGUUAGGUUAAAGGAUUAAGUCUAGUCUGUCUUCACUUUGCCCUGGUUCUGACACACUCUAAAAAAAGUUACCGGCUGCCCGCGUGCUUCGCCUGACCUCUACAUCUCCCUGGAGUGACAACACUUUCCUUUUUGCUCUCCAAAGGUCAAGGCAGAUAACUUGUUGAGCCUCCCAGAUACUGCCUUAUCAGUGGCUUUUCCCUCCUGGCAUCACACUUUGAAAUAAAUGCACAAACUACUGGAAGGAAAGAAAGGGCGAGAUCCAGACAGAGUUAGGCACUUUUAAAUGCCGCUGGUUUCAGCGGUUGAGAACAGAGCAUGUGCUUAACGCUCUCCAUGAUGUGUUUAAACUGCUGACUCCAAGAUAAAUGGUCAGGGAAGUUCUCUGCCAAAGCCUCUGUUCCAGGUAUGUCCAAAGUCCAUUUUGGCCUAAUCUGGCCCGCUGGUCGGUUCAAUCCAGCCCUGUGGCAGUUUAUUUCCUGGGGUAAAAUCCUAAAAAACCCCUCAAUGUUAUGUACUGAGUUGAAUAGGAUCCAAAAAGCAGCAGUCUGAUUGGUCCUAGAACAAUAGGAUUCAGAAUGCAGCAGUCUGAUUGGUCCUAGAACAAUAGGGUCCAGAAUGCAGCAGUUUGAUUGGUCCUAGAACAAUGCAGCAGUAUGAUUGGCCCGCAGGAGCCACCCAAUCCAGCUCCAGGUGGAAGUGAAUCCACAACCUGAUUGGCCUACAGGAGAAUCCCAGAAUUAGCCAAUCAUGUGCGACCCAUUGUGUAAAUAAUGUAUAUAAAGCAGAUAUUUGGG
This is a non-coding RNA of Podarcis lilfordi (Lilford's wall lizard), 10580 nucleotides long. The record is from the annotation of a GenBank genome assembly. NCBI's taxonomy places the organism in Eukaryota, Metazoa, Chordata, Lepidosauria, Squamata, Lacertidae.